This 360-nucleotide ribosomal RNA is filed under the name uncultured bacterium. RNAcentral describes it as "bacterial SSU rRNA". It matches the Rfam family "Bacterial small subunit ribosomal RNA", at positions 29 to 416 of the family's 1533-position model. The record is from RNAcentral.
AACGAACGCUGGCGGCAUGCCUAACACAUGCAAGUCGAACGAGACCUUCGGGUCUAGUGGCGCACGGGUGCGUAACGCGUGGGAAUCUGCCCCUUGGUUCGGAAUAACAGCGAGAAAUUGCUGCUAAUACCGGAUAAUGACGUAAGUCCAAAGAUUUAUCGCCAAGGGAUGAGCCCGCGUAGGAUUAGCUAGUUGGUGUGGUAAAGGCGCACCAAGGCGACGAUCCUUAGCUGGUCUGAGAGGAUGAUCAGCCACACUGGGACUGAGACACGGCCCAGACUCCUACGGGAGGCAGCAGUGGGGAAUAUUGGACAAUGGGCGAAAGCCUGAUCCAGCAAUGCCGCGUGAGUGAUGAAGGCC